UCCACCCUUGGCCGCCCCCUCCUUCUGUAGGAUGCCUGCUGGGCGUUCCCCCCCCCCCUCUCCACCUUGCUGCUGCAAAGAAACAAGAAAGAAGAAGAGAAGAAAGAAGGGAAGGGCAGCAAGGAAAGUAAGGAGAAGAGGGGAAGAGGAGGUUUGAAGCUAGGGAUUUUGGGAUUUUCUUACUGUGGUUCCCUAAGGUGGUGUUGCACCGAUGCAUGUAUGUCUUGUCUUCAUCGUCGGUAAAUGCAAGUGAGCGUGGCGGUUGUUGGCACAACUUUAACUUGUUAUUUUUGCUACCUCCACUUAUAAUAAUGUAGCACACAAGAUUAUACUCAUUAAUUUGGAUAAUUAUACCUACUUGCUCUGGAUCUGUGAAUUUGGCUUAAUCUUUUGGUUAUGGUUGAUGGAGUCUUAUGCAAUAGUGAUGAUGCCUUACCGGUUUAGUCAUUUCUAGCACAACCUCAUUAUAUCUAAUGGUUAGUUCACUUGAGGAUCAUGAUGUCGGUUAUGUAGAAGCUUAUAGAAGAGGACAUGCUUUGACUUGUAGGUGGGCAUUUAAUUCUUUUUGGAAGGUUGUUUCAUAUGUCUAAAACUAGUUGGAAUAUAACCUUUUGAAACCUUAUGCAUGUUAAAUGAUAAGCUAGCAAAAGCAUAUUUGUUAUCUUUCUGUGCCCUACAUAAAAUUAAACUUGUAAUAUGUGGUUAUGAAAUGGGGUAGGCCUUGCUCUUUCAAAGCAAGUUUAAUGUUGCUGUAUGUGUAUGUCCUUGUCAUCUGCACUUUAACAGGAAGAAGGAAUUAUGGAUAUGUGUGGAUGGAAGUGGUUUAUAUUAAUUAUGUAGAAAAUGCUUUUAUGUUGAUGUAUGUUCACGGUUGUGUACUAUGCGAUUUAUAUUUUGGCAUUUGAAGUAUAUCAUGUGCAUUGCACUGUAUUGCAUUUCAUAUGCAUUGAAAGUUAUGUCGUAAAGAUCACGACCGUACCAGUACACAUCGUACAUUUUCCGAGGAGGGGUGCGAUGUAAAAGAAGACAUGUCAUUGCAUUCGUAUGCAUGUCAUAUGGAUUGAUUGUUGGAUAUAUUGAAGUUGCAUUGGAGGUCAUUAUGAGAAGUGACGCUUCUCCAUGGAUAUAUUCAUUGUGGUAUGCCUUGUGAACUUAUGAAGGUAUUGAAGUCCUACGUGGAUUUGCAUUGCAUAGUAUCCAUAUGCAUCAUAUUGUGUUACAGUAAUAUUCCAUAUUCAAUUUGGAUGUGAUGAAUGGUAUGUAGAUGUUUGAGUAAUUUUACUAAUUGUAGAAGGUAUGUGGGUGCGAGUGAGUUAUCCUUAAAACUGUCAUUUAUUAUUAGUGUGGCUUGAACUCUAUUCAUGAUGUCUUGGAUGAUUAUAUUAUCUUACAAGUCCUAUUUAACUCUUAGAAGUUGAAAUCAUUUAUUGAUGUUGAUAUCAUGCCAUAUGGUAUAGAUAGUUUUUUUUUCUAUCUUGCUUAUGUUAUAGUUAUGUUUGCUAUGAACAUGUUUUUAUUGAUCUCCUUUUAGAAGUAACUAUUUAACUUGCUUAAAAAUGAGCAUGAUGAAUAAUACCAUGUCUUUUAUACAUGUUUAAGUUUUAAAGUGAUGCUUUAAAUACUGUGGUUUAAAUAGCUUGUUAAAGUGAUUCGCUUGCUGAGAUUACCCAAUCUCACUCUUGCAAUAUUCCUCCCCAGGUUGUUCUACUUGAAGCUAGCAUGGAGGGAAGGGAUUAGAAGCACGUCUUGCACUUCAUGUAUUCACUUAAUAUCACCGAGUUGUAAUAAUAAAUUAUGUUUAGUCAUUA
This is a long non-coding RNA of Phragmites australis (common reed), 1808 nucleotides long. RefSeq lists it as uncharacterized. The record is from RefSeq and is a predicted model, not a curated record. NCBI's taxonomy places the organism in Eukaryota, Viridiplantae, Streptophyta, Magnoliopsida, Poales, Poaceae. The transcript is spliced from 2 exons.